AUAUGGACUUUAAAAUAGUGCACUGCAUGACGUCACCGCAAGGCUUAGACGAUAUAUGUAUUUAUUGAUCUGGAUAAUUAUGCUAAUAUUAAUGUGGGGGCGGGUGCGUAAGUUCCAGACUGUUUCUGCGGUGGCUGGAAGUCGUCCAUCGCAUUCAGCGGGUACUACGGCUGUGAGAAGGCCGGGCUGGGGGCGACGAGACGCGGGGAAGAGGCGUGCGAGGGCUCCUUCUUUACCUUCCUUCAGUCCGCUCCUCGGAGCCGAACAGGACGCACGGACUUUUACGCACAUCCACUUUAGUUCGAAAUUGGUGUACCUAAUGUUGCGUCCAAAGGCGACCUUCCCCGAAGUUAUCUCUUCCGAAGUUCACCGAGAGGUCGUGGGUGACACGAUGUCACGCUGACAUGAUCCGAAUGAGGAAUCUCACCAAGCGUAAGGGAUUGAGUCGGCGAACGCAGCUCAGAACAUCUGAGUCGAGGCGGCUCACAAAAGCGGCGCCUGCUGUCAACGAAUCCCGCGAUUGAUUCGUCCUUCCGUUAAUUAUGACGACCGUCGUUUAGCGUUUGACAGCAUCCAUCUCGACGUCCUUUGUGAUGGUGGCACACCUGCGUGGCUUUAAUUGCAACGUUUUCUUUUCGGCCUUGAAAUGCCAAACGUUUGAGCCAAAGAAAAUCACAAGUUGUCAAUGAGAACACCUGGAGAAAGAUUUCAAUUGUGUUUUUCAUCCCAGCUGUUACCCAUUGUUGCUACAUCUUUUUGACAGAAAAAUCUCAUUAAAGUCAACAACUGUUGCAUUUUUCAACAGAAUUAGCCACAUUUUUUUGUAUAAAGUAACUUCACUCAACGCAUCUCUGAGUUAGUACCUCUACUUGACAUAUCAAUAAAAUAUUUUGGACUUUUCUUUUGCAUACGUGUAGGGAAAUCUAUACUUUAAAAUGGUAAGAGUGAGGCAAUCAAUGAAGCUGCCUCAAUCUGCACGUACCUCUUUAGCUGAUCAGUUCCUUCUGCAUCAUUUCUUGCCGCCCUUAGUCUCCUGUGGGAUAAGCAAAAUGGCUGCGUUAUUGUGACAUUUGAGGAUACACAGCUAGAAAUGACAACAGUAACAAUGCAUAUCAUCUUCCCUCCGGAAGCUGCAGUAUAUCGUAGCCACAGUCUCCGCUUCACUGCAACUGCCCAUAAUCUCUUCUCAAAUAAAAUCCUGCGUGGAAGUAAA
Molecule: long non-coding RNA, 1213 nt
Organism: Syngnathus acus (greater pipefish)
Lineage: Eukaryota; Metazoa; Chordata; Actinopteri; Syngnathiformes; Syngnathidae
Exons: 2
Source: RefSeq, a predicted model, not a curated record